This 668-nucleotide ribosomal RNA is filed under the name uncultured bacterium. Its description in RNAcentral is "bacterial SSU rRNA". It matches the Rfam family "Bacterial small subunit ribosomal RNA", at positions 90 to 743 of the family's 1533-position model. The record is from RNAcentral.
GACGAGUGGCGAACUGGUGAGUAACACGUGGGUAACCUGCCCUUGAAGUAGGGGAUAACACUUGGAAACAGGUGCUAAUACCGUAUAACAACCAAAACCACCUGGUUUUGGUUUAAAAGACGGCUUCGGCUGUCACUUUAGGAUGGACCCGCGGCGUAUUAGCUUGUUGGUAAGGUAACGGCCUACCAAGGCGAUGAUACGUAGCCGACCUGAGAGGGUAAUCGGCCACAUUGGGACUGAGACACGGCCCAAACUCCUACGGGAGGCAGCAGUAGGGAAUCUUCCACAAUGGACGAAAGUCUGAUGGAGCAACGCCGCGUGAGUGAUGAAGGGUUUCGGCUCGUAAAACUCUGUUGUUGGAGAAGAACAGGUGUCAGAGUAACUGUUGACAUCUUGACGGUAUCCAACCAGAAAGCCACGGCUAACUACGUGCCAGCAGCCGCGGUAAUACGUAGGUGGCAAGCGUUGUCCGGAUUUAUUGGGCGUAAAGCGAGCGCAGGCGGUUUUUUAGGUCUGAUGUGAAAGCCUUCGGCUUAACCGGAGAAGUGCAUCGGAAACCGGGAGACUUGAGUGCAGAAGAGGACAGUGGAACUCCAUGUGUAGCGGUGAAAUGCGUAGAUAUAUGGAAGAACACCAGUGGCGAAGGCGGCUGUCUGGUCUGUAACUGA